Molecule: ribosomal RNA, 465 nt
Filed under: uncultured bacterium
Lineage: Bacteria
Description: partial 16S ribosomal RNA
Rfam family: Bacterial small subunit ribosomal RNA
Source: RNAcentral
CCUACGGGUGGCAGCAGUAGGGAAUCUUCCACAAUGGGCGAAAGCCUGAUGGAGCAACGCCGCGUGGGUGAAGAAGGUCUUCGGAUCGUAAAACCCUGUUGUUAGAGAAGAAAGUGCGUGAGAGUAACUGUUCACGUUUCUACCGUAUCUAACCAGAAAGGCACGGCUAACUAAGUGCCCGCAGCCGCGGUAAUACGUAGGUGGCAAGCGUUAUCCGGAUUUAUUGGGCGUAAGGGGAGCGCAGGCGGUCAGUUAAGUCUGACGUGAAAGGCUUCGGCUUAACCGGAGUAGUGCAUUGGAAACUGGGAGUCUUGAGUUCAGAAGAGGAGAGCGGAACUCCAGGUGUAGCGGUGAAAUGCGUAGAUAUAUGGAAGAACACCAGUGGCGAAGGCAGCUCUCUGGUCUGUAACUGACGCUGAGGUUCGAAAGCGUGGGUAGCAAACAGGAUUAGAUACCCUUGUAGUC